This 71-nucleotide transfer RNA is filed under the name Cordylochernes scorpioides. RNAcentral describes it as "tRNA-Gly". It matches the Rfam family "tRNA". Rfam says of the family: Transfer RNA (tRNA) molecules are approximately 80 nucleotides in length. The record is from RNAcentral. Lineage: Eukaryota; Metazoa; Arthropoda; Arachnida; Pseudoscorpiones; Chernetidae.
CCAUCGGUGGUUCAGUGGUAGAAUGCUCGCCUGCCACGCGACCGGCGCGGGUUCGAUUCCCGGCCGAUGCA